RNAcentral lists this ribosomal RNA (468 nucleotides) under uncultured bacterium. RNAcentral's name for it is "partial 16S ribosomal RNA". It matches the Rfam family "Bacterial small subunit ribosomal RNA", at positions 28 to 507 of the family's 1533-position model. The record is from RNAcentral.
GACGAACGCUGGCGGCGUGCUUAACACAUGCAAGUCGAACGGAAAGGCCCUGCUUUUGUGGGUUUCUCGAUUGGCGAGCGGGUGAGUAACACGUGAGUAACCUGCACCUGUCUUUGUGAUAACUUCAGGAAACUGGGGCUAAUACCGGAUAUGAUCUCCUGCUGCAUGUUGUGCGAUGGAAAGUUUCGGCUGUUGUGGCUGGACUCGCUGCUUAUGAGCUUGUUGGGCGGGUAGUUGCUUACCAAGGCUUUGACGGGUAGGCGGCCUGAGAGGGUGACCGGCGACAAUGGGACUGCGGGACGCCCCAGAAUCGUAUCGGAGGCAGCAGGGGGGAAUAUUGCACAACGAGGGGACGCCUGAUGUGGCAGCGCCGCGAGCGGAAUGAUCGCCUACGAGUUGUAAACAGAUUUGGCAUGAGCUGAAGAGUGAGUGACGGUAACGGGUAAAGAAGCAACGGCUAACUACGUG